UACGGGGGGGGUAAGCGUUGUUCGGAAUUACUGGGCGUAAAGUGUGCGCAGGUGGCCGCGCAAGUCGAGUGUGAAAUCCCCGAGCUUAACUUGGGAAUUGCGCUCGAAACUACGUGGCUCGAGUGUGGCAGAGGAAGGUGGAAUUCCACGUGUAGCGGUGAAAUGCGUAGAGAUGUGGAGGAACACCGAUGGCGAAGGCAGCCUUCUGGGCCAACACUGACGCUCAUGCACGAAAGCGUGGGGAGCAAACAGG
This 253-nucleotide ribosomal RNA is filed under the name uncultured bacterium. Its description in RNAcentral is "partial 16S ribosomal RNA". It matches the Rfam family "Bacterial small subunit ribosomal RNA", at positions 524 to 776 of the family's 1533-position model. The record is from RNAcentral.